RNAcentral lists this unclassified non-coding RNA (331 nucleotides) under soil metagenome. Its description in RNAcentral is "partial contains 5.8S ribosomal RNA, internal transcribed spacer 2, and large subunit ribosomal RNA". The stretch from base 1 to 120 matches the Rfam family "5.8S ribosomal RNA", at positions 35 to 154 of the family's 154-position model. The record is from RNAcentral.
GAUGAAGAACGUAGCAAAAUGCGAUAAGUAAUGUGAAUUGCAGAAUUCAGUGAAUCAUCGAAUCUUUGAACGCACAUUGCGCCCCCUGGCAUUCCGGGGGGCAUGCCUGUUCGAGCGUCAUUUCACCACUCAAGCCUCGCUUGGUAUUGGGCAACGCGGUCCGCCGCGUGCCUCAAAUCGACCGGCUGGGUCUUCUGUCCCCUAAGCGUUGUGGAAACUAUUCGCUAAAGGGUGUUCGGGAGGCUACGCCGUAAAACAACCCCAUUUCUAAGGUUGACCUCGGAUCAGGUAGGGAUACCCGCUGAACUUAAGCAUAUCAAUAAGCGGAGGA